GACGGUGUGGCGUAUGUCGGCGGACGUGAUCGGGUUCCCGUUCUGGUCCUUGACGCCGUCCUUGAGCGUGUACGUCCAGGUCUUGCCGCCGUCC
RNAcentral lists this transfer RNA (94 nucleotides) under Streptomyces viridiviolaceus. RNAcentral describes it as "tRNA-Gly". Lineage: Bacteria; Bacillati; Actinomycetota; Actinomycetes; Kitasatosporales; Streptomycetaceae. The record is from RNAcentral.